NAGACCCGCAGAGGGGACAGCCAGGAUGUCACAGCCACGAGGUGAGGGUGGCACCCCGUGUCACACACGGUGGUGGCCGUCCUGUCACCGUUGUCCCCACAGGGAGGUCACUGUCACCAGCGCCAUAAGGGGAUUGGCAGUGUCACCAUCCCGGGACAGCGCCUGUGCUCUGUCCCCAGGUGUCACCCCAACAGGAGGUGGCACUCGGGGGGCUCAGGGUCACCCUGGUGCCCUCAAGCUCCCCUGUGUCCCCUCGUGUCCCCUGUCCCACCUCCCAUGUCCCCAUGUCGCCAGUGUCCCACAAUUCCGCCGUGUCCCCCCGGGUCCCCAUGUCCCCAAUGUUCUCAAUGUCACCAAUGUUCCCAAUGUCACCAAGUGUUCCCCCGUGUCCCCAUGUCCCGAAUGUCCCACAAUGUCUCCAUGUCCCCAGUGUCCCCCUGUGUCUUCCAGGUCCCCAGUGUCCCCAGUGCCCCCAGGUCCCCGUGUCCCUGAAUGUCCCCAAUGUCCCCCUGUGUCCCCAUGUCCCCAAUGUCCCCAAUAUCCCAAAUACUCCUCCGUGUCCCCCAUGUCCACCAGGUCCCCGCACGUCCCCCUGUGUCCCCAUGUCCCCAAAGUCCCCCUACGUCCCCCAAUGUCCCCAAUGCCCCUCUGUGUCCCCAAUGUCCCCAAUGUCCCCAAUGUUCCCCCCAAUGUCCCCCCGUGUCCGUCGCUCCUUGAUCGGGGGGAGGAGCCACCCUCAUGGGCGUGUCCCCUGCCGGACCCACCCCCUCUCCCCAUUGGCUGCUCGUUGCUGUCACUCAAACCCCGCCCCUAUAAAGGCGGCGGCGGCAGCGCCGAUCCCGCACUCGGAGCGGCGGCGGCAGCGGGCGGGAUGAGCGAGGUGGGGACACCGGGGGACAACGGGGACACCGGGGGGCAACGGGGACACCGGCGGGCACCGGGCGGGAUGAGCGAGGUGCGGGAACCGGGAGGCACCGGAACCGGGACUCUGCCACUUUUCCCGGGGCUUCCAGCACCGGGCGGGGAGCAGCGCUGGGAGCGGCAAUGGGACCAGGACAGGGGCGACACUUUGGGGACCCCAGGCCACCGGUGUCACCUCCCUUGUCCCCCCGGGCCCUCCUCUCUUCUCAGUGCAGCCCCCCUGAGCCCCACUCGCGCUGGAGGCUGUGGGGACCCUGGGGACAAUGUGGGGACAAUGUGGGGACAAUGUGGGGACAAUGCGGGGACCCUGUGUCACCUCCGGGUCCCCUCUCUCCGCAGCGCAGUCCCCGUGUCCCCCCCUCCGCGGCGGAGGCCCCCGGUGGGCAGCAGCAAGGUGAGGAGCGCGGGUUCGCUGUCACCGCUGUCACCUCUGUCACCUCUGUCACCAGGGUCCCCCCAUUGUCCCCGUCCUUGCGGGGGGUGGCACCUGCGUGCAUUUGGGGACCUCCCCUGUCCCCUCGGAAGUGUCGGGGUGUCCCCCCUGGGAGGGGUCCCGUGGUGUCCCGUGUCCCCCAGGGGAUGGCAGUGUGUCCAUCUGAGUGUCC
RNAcentral lists this long non-coding RNA (1526 nucleotides) under Junco hyemalis (dark-eyed junco). Its description in RNAcentral is "lncRNA (ENSJHYG00000009404.1)". Lineage: Eukaryota; Metazoa; Chordata; Aves; Passeriformes; Passerellidae. The record is from RNAcentral.